UACGAAGGGGGCUAGCGUUGCUCGGAAUCACUGGGCGUAAAGCGCACGUAGGCGGAUUGUUAAGUCAGGGGUGAAAUCCUGGAGCUCAACUCCAGAACUGCCUUUGAUACUGGCGAUCUCGAGUCCGGGAGAGGUGAGUGGAACUGCGAGUGUAGAGGUGAAAUUCGUAGAUAUUCGCAAGAACACCAGUGGCGAAAGCGGCUCACUGGCCCGGUACUGACGCUGAGGUGCGAAAGCGUGGGGAGCAAACAGG
RNAcentral lists this ribosomal RNA (253 nucleotides) under uncultured bacterium. RNAcentral's name for it is "partial 16S ribosomal RNA". It matches the Rfam family "Bacterial small subunit ribosomal RNA", at positions 524 to 776 of the family's 1533-position model. The record is from RNAcentral.